Molecule: ribosomal RNA, 544 nt
Filed under: uncultured bacterium
Lineage: Bacteria
Description: partial 16S ribosomal RNA
Rfam family: Bacterial small subunit ribosomal RNA
Source: RNAcentral
UGGGGAAUUUUGGACAAUGGGCGAAAGCCUGAUCCAGCAAUGCCGCGUGUGUGAAGAAGGCCUUCGGGUUGUAAAGCACUUUUGUCCGGAAAGAAAUGGCUCUGGUUAAUACCUGGGGUCGAUGACGGUACCGGAAGAAUAAGGACCGGCUAACUACGUGCCAGCAGCCGCGGUAAUACGUAGGGUCCAAGCGUUAAUCGGAAUUACUGGGCGUAAAGCGUGCGCAGGCGGUUGUGCAAGACCGAUGUGAAAUCCCCGAGCUUAACUUGGGAAUUGCAUUGGUGACUGCACGGCUAGAGUGUGUCAGAGGGGGGUAGAAUUCCACGUGUAGCAGUGAAAUGCGUAGAGAUGUGGAGGAAUACCGAUGGCGAAGGCAGCCCCUGGGAUAACACUGACGCUCAUGCACGAAAGCGUGGGGAGCAAACAGGAUUAGAUACCCUGGUAGUCCACGCCCUAAACGAUGUCAACUAGUUGUUGGGGAUUCAUUUCCUUAGUAACGUAGCUAACGCGUGAAGUUGACCGCCUGGGGAGUACGGUCGCAAGA